This 247-nucleotide ribosomal RNA is filed under the name uncultured bacterium. Its description in RNAcentral is "partial 16S ribosomal RNA". It matches the Rfam family "Bacterial small subunit ribosomal RNA", at positions 523 to 769 of the family's 1533-position model. The record is from RNAcentral.
AUACGUAGGACCCAAGCGUUGUCCGGAAUUACUGGGCGUAAAGGGCAUGUAGGCGGUCUUGUAAGCUUGGCGUGAAAGACCACGGCUCAACCGUGGGAUUGCGUUGAGAACUGCGAGGCUUGAGUGACGGAGAGGGAGCUAGAAUUCCUGGUGUAGGGGUGGAAUCUGUAGAUAUCAGGAGGAACACCGGUGGCGAAGGCGGCUGCCUGGACCGAUAUUGACGCUGAGACGCGAAAGCGUGGGUAGC